GUGGGUGUAGCUCAGUUGGUUAGAGCACCUGACUGUGGAUCAGGAUGUCGGGGGUUCAAGUCCCCUCACUCACC
This 74-nucleotide transfer RNA is filed under the name Gemmataceae bacterium. Its description in RNAcentral is "tRNA-His". It matches the Rfam family "tRNA". From Rfam's summary of the family: Transfer RNA (tRNA) molecules are approximately 80 nucleotides in length. Their secondary structure includes four short double-helical elements and three loops (D, anti-codon, and T loops). Lineage: Bacteria; Pseudomonadati; Planctomycetota; Planctomycetia; Gemmatales; Gemmataceae. The record is from RNAcentral.